UGCGCGCCUCUUGUCGAAUGAUAAAUAAUUUCUUCUCUCCAAAACUAAAGAAUGAAAAGUGCUGUAGUACGCAU
RNAcentral lists this transfer RNA (74 nucleotides) under Branchiostoma lanceolatum (amphioxus). RNAcentral describes it as "transfer RNA (AGA)". Lineage: Eukaryota; Metazoa; Chordata; Leptocardii; Amphioxiformes; Branchiostomatidae. The record is from RNAcentral.